GAUGAACGCUGGCGGCGUGGAUAAGGCAUGCAAGUCGUACGGUCGAGCACAUAACUUGUUAUGGGCUCGAUAGUGGCGAACGGGUUAGUAACACGUAGAUACAAACCCUAUUCAUGAGUAUAACUAAUCGAAAGAUUAGCUAAUCCUCAAUGGUCUGAGCAUAUAAUUUUAUUAUGUGCUCAGUAAAGGUUUCGCAAGAAGCCGGAAUAGGAUUGGUCUGCGGCCUAUCAGCUAGUUGGUGAGGUAAUAGCUCACCAAGGCGAUGACGGGUAGGGGAGAUGAGAGUCUGUUCCCCAACAAGGGCACUGCGACACGGGCCCUACUCCUACGGGAGGCAGCAGUCGAGAAUAUUGGGCAAUGGGCGAAAGCCUGACCCUGCGACGCCGCGUGCUCGAAGAAGCCCUUCGGGGUGUAAAGAGCUUUUCUAAGGGAAGAACCUUCGGGUGACGGUACCUUAGGAAUAAGGGGGUGCUAACUCUGUGCCAGCAGCAGCGGUAAUACAGAGCCCCCAAGCGUUAUCCGGAUUUAUUGGGCGUAAAGAGUCUGUAGGCGCCCCGUCAGGUUUUCUGUUAAAUCUCUAGGGCUUAACCUUAGAGCUGCAGAAAAAACCGGCGGGGUAGAGGGCGUUAGAGGCUGAUGGAAUGGUCGGUGUAGGGGUGAAAUCCGUUGAUAUCGACCGGAACACCAAAUGCGAAGGCAUUCAGCUGGGGCGACCCUGACGCUGAGAGACG
This 731-nucleotide ribosomal RNA is filed under the name marine sediment metagenome. RNAcentral describes it as "SSU rRNA". It matches the Rfam family "Bacterial small subunit ribosomal RNA", at positions 28 to 755 of the family's 1533-position model. The record is from RNAcentral.